This 253-nucleotide ribosomal RNA is filed under the name uncultured bacterium. RNAcentral describes it as "partial 16S ribosomal RNA". It matches the Rfam family "Bacterial small subunit ribosomal RNA", at positions 524 to 776 of the family's 1533-position model. The record is from RNAcentral.
UACGUAGGGUGCAAGCGUUGUCCGGAAUUAUUGGGCGUAAAGAGCUCGUAGGCGGUUAGUCGCGUCUGCUGUGAAAACUCGGGGCUUAACUCCGGGCCUGCAGUGGGUACGGGCUGACUAGAGUGCGGUAGGGGAGACUGGAAUUCCUGGUGGAGCGGUGAAAUGCGCAGAUAUCAGGAGGAACACCGGUGGCGAAGGCGGGUCUCUGGGCCGUAACUGACGCUGAGGAGCGAAAGCAUGGGGAGCGAACAGG